This 72-nucleotide transfer RNA is filed under the name Umbilicaria muhlenbergii. RNAcentral describes it as "tRNA-Gln (CTG) (tRNA-Gln-CTG-1-1)". It matches the Rfam family "tRNA". From Rfam's summary of the family: Transfer RNA (tRNA) molecules are approximately 80 nucleotides in length. Their secondary structure includes four short double-helical elements and three loops (D, anti-codon, and T loops). Further hydrogen bonds mediate the characteristic L-shaped molecular structure. tRNAs have two regions of fundamental functional importance: the anti-codon, which is responsible for specific mRNA codon recognition, and the 3' end, to which the tRNAs corresponding amino acid is attached (by aminoacyl-tRNA synthetases). tRNAs cope with the degeneracy of the genetic code in two manners: having more than one tRNA (with a specific anti-codon) for a particular amino acid; and 'wobble' base-pairing, i.e. permitting non-standard base-pairing at the 3rd anti-codon position. Lineage: Eukaryota; Fungi; Ascomycota; Lecanoromycetes; Umbilicariales; Umbilicariaceae. The record is from RNAcentral.
GGUCCAUUAGUGUAGCGGUCAUCACGUCGGAUUCUGAUUCCGGAUACCUCAGUUCGAUUCUGGGAUGGACCU